This 552-nucleotide ribosomal RNA is filed under the name uncultured Methanosarcinales archaeon. RNAcentral describes it as "bacterial SSU rRNA". It matches the Rfam family "Archaeal small subunit ribosomal RNA", at positions 339 to 891 of the family's 1478-position model. Lineage: Archaea; Methanobacteriati; Methanobacteriota; Methanomicrobia; Methanosarcinales. The record is from RNAcentral.
GCGCGAAAACUUUACAAUGCGGGAAACCGUGAUAAGGGGACACCGAGUGCCAGCAUCAUAUGCUGGCUGUCCAGGUGUGUAAACUACACCUGUUAGCAAGGGCCGGGCAAGACCGGUGCCAGCCGCCGCGGUAACACCGGCGGCCCGAGUGGUGAUCGUGAUUAUUGGGUCUAAAGGGUCCGUAGCCGGUUUGGUCAGUCCUCCGGGAAAUCUGACGGCUCAACCGUUAGGCUUUCGGGGGAUACUGCCAGGCUUGGAACCGGGAGAGGUAAGAGGUACUACAGGGGUAGGAGUGAAAUCUUGUAAUCCCUGUGGGACCACCUGUGGCGAAGGCGUCUUACCAGAACGGGUUCGACGGUGAGGGACGAAAGCUGGGGGCACGAACCGGAUUAGAUACCCGGGUAGUCCCAGCCGUAAACGAUGCUCGCUAGGUGUCAGGCAUGGCGCGACCGUGUCUGGUGCCGCAGGGAAGCCGUGAAGCGAGCCACCUGGGAAGUACGGCCGCAAGGCUGAAACUUAAAGGAAUUGGCGGGGGAGCACAACAACGGGUGG